Acanthosepion pharaonis is the source of this 97-nucleotide non-coding RNA. The record is from the annotation of a GenBank genome assembly. NCBI's taxonomy places the organism in Eukaryota, Metazoa, Mollusca, Cephalopoda, Sepiida, Sepiidae.
AUUGAAACACAGGUUUCCAUAUGAUCACAAAAGUUAAGCAACGUCAAGCCUGGUCAGUACCUAGAUGAGUACACUUGGGAAUACCAGGUGCUGUAAG